RNAcentral lists this transfer RNA (74 nucleotides) under Phycisphaerae bacterium. Its description in RNAcentral is "tRNA-Arg". It matches the Rfam family "tRNA". From Rfam's summary of the family: Transfer RNA (tRNA) molecules are approximately 80 nucleotides in length. Their secondary structure includes four short double-helical elements and three loops (D, anti-codon, and T loops). RNAcentral also lists the same sequence under 1 other name. The record is from RNAcentral. Lineage: Bacteria; Pseudomonadati; Planctomycetota; Phycisphaerae.
GCGUGUGUAGCUCAAUUGGAUAGAGCAUCGGUCUUCGAAACCGAGGGUUGCAGGUUCGAGUCCUGCCACGCGCG